RNAcentral lists this ribosomal RNA (445 nucleotides) under uncultured bacterium. RNAcentral's name for it is "partial 16S ribosomal RNA". It matches the Rfam family "Bacterial small subunit ribosomal RNA", at positions 354 to 796 of the family's 1533-position model. The record is from RNAcentral.
GUGAGGAAUAUUGCGCAAUGGAGGCAACUCUGACGCAGCCAUGCCGCGUGCAGGAAGAAGGCGCUACGCGUUGUAAACUGCUUUUAACCGGGAAGAAACCCCAGGACGUGUCCUGGGUUGACGGUACCGGAGGAAUAAGCACCGGCUAACUUCGUGCCAGCAGCCGCGGUAAUACGAAGGGUGCAAGCGUUAUCCGGAUUCAUUGGGUUUAAAGGGUGCGUAGGCGGAGCGUUAAGUCAGUGGUGAAAUCCUGCAGCUUAACUGUAGACUUGGCAUUGAUACUGGCGCGCUUGAGUGCGCUUGAAGUGGGCGGAAUGUGCCGUGUAGCGGUGAAAUGCUUAGAUAUGGCACAGAACACCAAUUGCGAAGGCAGCUCACUAAGGCGAUACUGACGCUGAGGCACGAAAGCGUGGGGAUCGAACAGGAUUAGAAACCCCGGUAGUCC